Molecule: ribosomal RNA, 534 nt
Filed under: Lysmata argentopunctata
Lineage: Eukaryota; Metazoa; Arthropoda; Malacostraca; Decapoda; Hippolytidae
Description: partial 16S ribosomal RNA
Rfam family: Bacterial large subunit ribosomal RNA
Source: RNAcentral
GUCUGCGUGUGUUGUUAUAUGCAGUCUGGCCUGCCCACUGGAAGUUUGAAGGGCCGCGGUAUCCUGACCGUGCGAAGGUAGCAUAAUCAAUAGUGUUUUAAUUGAAGACUGGAAUGAAGGGUCGGACAAGGGGUAAGCUGUCUCUAAAAUAAAUCUUGAAGUUUACCUUUAAGUGAAAAGGCUUAAAUAAAGUAAAGGGACGAUAAGACCCUAUAAAACUUAACAAGUUAUACAGUCAUAUGUACGAAUUAACUUAGAGUGUAAACUUAUGGGUGUAUAAUUGUUUUGUUGGGGCGACAGAGAUAAAAUGAAUUAACUGUCUUUUUUAUUUUAAUAGUAAUAAUUAGAGAAGCUGAUCCUUUACUAGGGAUUAUAAGAUCAAGUUACUUUAGGGAUAACAGCGUAAUUUCUCUUGAGAGUCCUAAUCGACAGAGUUAGUUGCGACCUCGAUGUUGAAUUAAGAUGUUAUUCAGGCGCAGCAGUCUGAAUGGUAGGUCUGUUCGACCUUUAAAAUCUUACAUGAUUUGAGUUCAA